Antechinus flavipes (yellow-footed antechinus) is the source of this 873-nucleotide long non-coding RNA. RefSeq lists it as uncharacterized. The transcript is spliced from 3 exons. The record is from RefSeq and is a predicted model, not a curated record. NCBI's taxonomy places the organism in Eukaryota, Metazoa, Chordata, Mammalia, Dasyuromorphia, Dasyuridae.
CCAAGGCGCCUUACGUUUGGGCAUCUUCCAGCCUUGCUCUCGGGGAAAGUGCGUGCCGCGGGAUCCGCCAAAAGCCCGCGCCCCAGCUCAGAAGCCGCCGACGGGAGAGAGACGGGCAAGCGGGUUAGCUCUGGGUGCAGACAGGUAGGAGGAGGGAGAAAUCCUUGCCUAGAUGUAGCGGUUGUGCUCUAAAAGGCCUCGAGUCUGGCUGCGAACAAUGCAAAUGGAAGGAAGCUGUUCUUGAGUUGGGGCGUCCCAGGGACUGUCCCCACCUUAGAGGUAUCAGUGGACCCCAGGCCAUCAUCAUUAAGAUGGAAGCGAAGUUGUGUCAGUUUGGGGGGCUGUGAUCAGAAUCUGAUCGUCUGCUGCCUUAAGAUGAUGGGCCCUCAGUUCAGCUGCUUCCAGAACUGAUGUUCCUGUGUCUUGUCAAACUGUACCUGACUGAGGACGUUCGAGCAGAUCUGUCUGGACACUUAGGACUUCAAUCAGGAAAACCACUAAACUGUGACUCUUUUUCUCCCCUAAAAGCAGAAAAUGGGCAGUGGGAUGUGGUGAAGAGCAAUUCUAAUGGGAUUUGUUUGUUUGUUUGUUUUCCUUCUUAACUAUUCAAGGUUUUGGUUUUGGUGGGUGAAUUUUCAUGCACUGUAAUUUCAGCUUUUGGUUAUUAGUUAAAAACUUCAUCUCAUCCAUUACAAAUGCAAAACAGAAAUGUUUCUUUGGUGGGGAGAAAAACAGGUUCUGAUAUUCAUUAUUUAAAUAUUUAUUUAGUUAGGUAAAAUCCCCCAAAAUGAGUGCUAUGAACCAAGUCAGACUGGACUGUGAAUACCUGGAAAAAGAAAGUUCUUGAAAUCAUUAAACAUGUUUCAUACUGCA